GCGGGAUUGGUUUAGUGGCAGAACGCCAGCUUCCCAAGCUGGAAAUACGGGUUCGAUUCCCGUAUCCCGCACUA
This 74-nucleotide transfer RNA is filed under the name Candidatus Jorgensenbacteria bacterium. RNAcentral describes it as "tRNA-Gly". It matches the Rfam family "tRNA". Rfam says of the family: Transfer RNA (tRNA) molecules are approximately 80 nucleotides in length. Their secondary structure includes four short double-helical elements and three loops (D, anti-codon, and T loops). Lineage: Bacteria; Candidatus Joergenseniibacteriota. The record is from RNAcentral.